RNAcentral lists this ribosomal RNA (268 nucleotides) under uncultured Glomus. RNAcentral describes it as "partial small subunit ribosomal RNA". It matches the Rfam family "Eukaryotic small subunit ribosomal RNA", at positions 605 to 877 of the family's 1831-position model. The record is from RNAcentral. Lineage: Eukaryota; Fungi; Glomeromycota; Glomeromycetes; Glomerales; Glomeraceae.
UAAAGUUGUUGCAGUUAAAAAGCUCGUAGUAGAAUUUCGGGGUUAGUAGGGUGGUCGUGCCACUGGUAUGUACUGGCUUUACUGAUUCCUCCUUCUUGAAGAACUGUAAUGUCAUUAAUUUGAUGUUGCAGGGAAACAGGACUGUUACUUUGAAAAAAUUAGAGUGUUUAAAGCGGGCUAACGCUUGAAUACAUUAGCAUGGAAUAAUGAAAUAGGACGUUUGAUCCUAUUUUGUUGGUUUCUAGGAUUGACGUAAUGAUUAAUAGGG